CUCGAAUGAGACGCGAGGCAGUCCGUCAUGAACGCGAAGAUUUGUCACGCGGAGUUGAAGGAGCUCACAUUUAAGAGACGGCUCGUAAAACGUAAAGUCGUAUAGGUUUGAGCUUAUUGCCUUGAUGCCGAAAUAUCCUUGGAGCAAAACUGGUGUUGUCAAGCAUCAAGGCUGACUCGUGGGCUGCUGGUUAUCUCGACUACUCGACGAAGAGGAGCUGUGACCGGUGUUGGUCUGAAUAAAGUUGCUGAGGCCAUCAAAGCCCUGAUUAAAAAGAAACUCCAUAUACCAGCUCCAGUACUUUCCAACCUGUGAUGACAAGUACAGUGGUCAGCUCUCACUCACCCUCUGAUGAAAUUCGAUGGCGUAGCUGAAAAGCGCAGGGUGGUGGAUGAGGUCGAAACGGCACCCGGGUUCCGGCACUUUGCUUAGAUCGAUUAGAUCCUUGUCAAUCUCAAGGUCCGAUCCAGGAAGGCACCAUGAGGAGUUCCACAUGGAAUUCACCAUGGCUUGAAGAUUCCGAUUAAACUCCUUGUAUGUA
Misgurnus anguillicaudatus (oriental weatherfish) is the source of this 541-nucleotide long non-coding RNA. RefSeq lists it as uncharacterized. NCBI's taxonomy places the organism in Eukaryota, Metazoa, Chordata, Actinopteri, Cypriniformes, Cobitidae. The record is from RefSeq and is a predicted model, not a curated record.